GGAGAGGUCAAGGCUCCUUCGGGCUCUGCGCGGCGCCUAGCGAUGACAUCACGCCCGCGACACCGCCCACCCCACUCGGAUCGGCGCUGGAAAGCUGAGUGUGCAAGAGAGAAGUCGGCGGAGCCUGGCCCAGCGUGCCUCCAUCUCCGCCCCAAGACUAACCCCCCGGCUCCAAAUUUCACGCCCGGCCUAAAGGACCCCCUGCGACACCUGGAAACACGCAACCUUGCCGCAAGAAACCGCGCCCCUUCCUUAGACCCUGCUUUUUUUUCUGGGUCCCGCCCCCAAAGAGCCUGUGCUGGAAUCCAGCCAAUGAGACCUCCAUGGCGGGCCUCGUCUCCUGCAGAAAGCCCUUAGUAUUGAGCCUGUGGGACCGUGCCUCUCAUAUCCCCCAAGGCAGAGGGUUAUUUGCCACGUUCCCCGCGCGGCCUCCAGAGGGCGUCAUGAACCCAUAGCAGCCUUCGCUGCUUCGCCGAGCCUGAUCACCUGGCUGGCCUGGGCCAGGAGCUUAGUGACCUAGGACGUGGUCUGGGAGCCAAACUCAGUUUCCUCAACUGGAAAAUGGAGAGAUCGUGAGAAGUCAUGCCUAGCACAAAGUGAACACUUUAGUGGUAUUAUUAUUAUUGUUAUUGUUAUUAUUGUUACUGAAGGUGAGUUUUGUCAUCAAAACAAGUCAAGAGCCGAGGCAGGGAAGGGGUGAACCCUGGAGGACUUGAAUACCUACUAAAGAUGUGGGUGCUUUUUUUUUUUUUUUUUGCAUCUGAUAUAUAACAUGGAUAUUUUUGUGUAGUAUUAAUAAAAAUUUACAGUGCAUUUCAUUGUGUAUCCUAUCCCUGCUAGAAUAAUUGUGGAUGGUAUUUGAACCCCACCCAAUCUGCAAUUUAGAAAGGUCUUUCAAUCCUUUAUGUUGCAGAAUUUUAUUUAUUCAUUUUAUGUUUGUGUAGGUAAUUCACACACCCGGUAAAGAAAAUUUCAACAACUACAAAAGUAUAAACUGGAGUGAAGUGUCUCCUCCAGUCUCUGAUCCUGCCCCUCCCUGUUUGCCUCCCAAAAGCCACCACCACAACCAGCUAUGCGUCUCCUCCCAGAACCAGUUUAUGAUUUUAUAGGCAGAUUUACAAGUCUGUCCUGUGCCAGGAAGUUUGGAUAUCAUGCAGCAAAGGAUGGAACAGCACUUGCUUAAUGAUUUAUUACGCACCUACUGGUCCUGCGUAGGUAAAUCCGGCAGACAACAUUGAGAUACUCACAGUGCAGUGCAGAAGGUUGAGGAGUCAGAUUAGGGGAAAGGGGCGCCUGGGUGGCUCAAUCGGUUAAGCGUCUGCCUUCGGCUCAGGUCAGGAUCCCAGUGUCCUGGAAUGGAGUACAGCAUCGGACUCCUUGCUCAGUGGGGAACCUGCUUCUCCUUCUACCUGCUGCUCCCCCUGCUUGUGCUCCCCAGCGUGCGCUCUCUCUUUUUGACAAAUAGAUAAAUAAAAUCUUAAAAAAGAAAAAAAAAAUAAUUAGGGGAAGGGAGGCCUACAGUGUAUGUGGGAACCCAGGGGAAGAACUCUUAACCUCUAAGGGCAGGGGUCUCAGAGGUGACUUCCCUGAGGCUGUAACUUGAGAACUAAGGUUUGAAGGUCCAUCAGGAGUUUGUUCAGAGGAGAAAAGGUGUUCCAGACUGAGAAUAGAGUUGCAAAGGCCAGAAGUGGGGAGAGAGCGGCAGGAAUCGGGAGUGGCUGGACCUUCCUGAUGGCAACUCAUUCGUUUAAGUUGAACCCACCUCAGGGCCUUUGCACUGUUGUUUCUUCUGCCUGGAACAUACUUUUCCCAGAGCUCCACAUGACUCUAUGUCUCACCUCCUUCAAUUCUUUGUUCAAAUUGUCACCUCCUGACCUGUCCUGACCACCCUAUUCAAAAUUGCAAUCCCCACUCCUGGCCCUUCUGACCCGCUUAUCCUGUCUUCACCCCAUCAGUAUUUAUCUUUUUUUUUUUUAAGAUUUUAUUCAUUUAUUUUUGAGAGAGAGAGAGAGGGAACAAGCACGAGCAGGGGGAAGGGCAGAGGGUGAAGCAGACUCCCCCCACUGAGCAGGAAGCCCAACAGGGGACUGGAUCCCAGGACUCUGGGAUCAUGACCUGAACCAAAGGCAGAUGCUCAACCGACCAACCCACCCAGGUGCCCCAGUAUUUAUCUUCUAACAUCCUAUGUAAUUUCCUGGUUUUUGAUGCUUUUUGUCUGUCUCCCCCAUUAGAAUAUAAACUCCCCCAGGACAGAAAUUUGCUCAGUCUCCUUCCCUGCUGUAGCUUCAGUACCCAGGAUAGCGACUAUAAUACAGUAGGGACUCAACACAUGUUUCUGGAGUGAAUUCCUUUGCUCAUCAUCCUGUUGCAGGGGUAUUACCAGAAAGAGAGAAAGCCCUCCCUUUGUCUCCUGGGUCUCAAGAUCUCUAGCCCCCUGAUGUCACGGGCACAUAAAUUAAAAAAAAAAAGAAGAAGAAGAAGAAGAUUAUUUGCCCAAUGACGCUGUAUUAACAUAGACACGUGUUCAAAUCUAGGGGGUGCCGCUAAGUGGCUCAGUAUCCCUGGACAACUGGUUAGCACUUUCAGUCUGGUCUGUGUAAGUGUAAGUGGGACAUACAUGAACCCUCCCCUACUGAGCUUAGUGAAGGAUCGGAGUUCUCUUUUCCUUCCAUCUGUGUAAGUGUAAGUGGGACAUAGAUGAACCCUCCCCUACUGAGCUUAGUGAAGGAUCGGAGUUCUCUUUUCCUUCCAUCUUCACUCCCCGCAGUCUUUUUCCCUCCACGGAAGGAGCCUGUAAACACCUGAGUCAGAUCACAUCCCUCAUCUGCUCAGAACCCUCCGUGUCUCAUUUCACUCUGAGCAAAAGCCAAAGUCCUCACUGGAGCCCACAAGGCCUUGCGAGGCCUGUCCUCACCUCCUCCCACCUUCUUCCUUUAUUACUCUGUGGUCAGGCCACACUGGUCUUCUCACCAGCACUGGUCAAUCCCAUGUCAGUCUCAGGGUCUUUGCACUGGUGCUUCUCUCUGCCUGGACCUCUCCCCCUUAAAUAUCUGCAUGACUCACUCCCUCACCUCCUUCAGGUCUUCAUUCAAAUGUCACCUUCUCAGCUGACACUGGGUCUAAAGUCACUGUUCCCUUCCUACCCCAUAUUCUUCAUAUGCCUUCCUGGAAUCAUUGUUUCUAGCACGCUUACCGCAUUCUAACAGAUGAUGUCAUUCUUAUUUAUUGAUUUAUCUUGAUUCUUGACCUCCUCUUCCACUAGAACAUCAGCUCCUAGAGGACGGGGUCCUUAUUUCUUGC
Molecule: long non-coding RNA, 3300 nt
Organism: Ursus thibetanus thibetanus
Lineage: Eukaryota; Metazoa; Chordata; Mammalia; Carnivora; Ursidae
Source: Ensembl